CAUUUCUCGAGAUAGCCAUGUAUGUGCCAAGUUCAACGUUAUACGUGAGACUGCGGACGGGUCACUAAAUCACUGAUAAUCUAUUUGAUUUUCUCUCCCAUUGGAUAACCGUGGGAAAUCUACAGCUAAUACGUGCGGUAUAUUGGUGUGCCUUCGGGUGCAUCAAAGCAUUUAUUAGACUAAACCAUCUACUGUGCCUCUCAGGCACAGUAAGGGGAAUCUGGAUAACUUUGCUGAUCGUAUGGCCUAGUGCCGGCGACGUUUCAAUUGAGUUUCUGCCCUAUCAACUUGUUGGUAAGGUAUUGGCUUACCAAGGUUGCAACGGGUAACGGGGAAUCAGGGUUCGAUUCCGGAGAGGGAGCCUGAGAAACGGCUACCACAUCCAAGGAAGGCAACAGGCGCGCAAAUUACCCAAUCUAGACAGUAGGAGGUGGUAAAGAGAAUUACUAAGUGGUGGUCCAAUGGAUUACCUGUUUGGAAUGAACGUAACUUAAGAAAUUCGAUGAUAAACAACUGGAGGGCAAGUCCUGGUGCCAGCAGCCGCGGUAAUUCCAGCUCCAGUAGUUUGCUUUAAAGUUGUUGCGUUUAAAACGCUCGUAGUUGGAUCACGCAGCAGUGUCGAGUAAUCUAUCGUUCGAAGACACCCGUUCGACUCGUCACGUACGAUCGACAGGAGAAUUUGGCGUUAGAUGUCAACGCCCGACGUUGCUAGUUGCACGCGAGAUAGAUGUUGGCCUUAAAUGUGCCGAUAUUCUCGUCUUGCGGAGUGUGCCUUGAAUAAACAGAGUGCUUAAAGCAGUCGUUGCCUGAAUGUUAUAGCAUGGAACGAACAAUCGUGUAUAUGUGUGCGUCUUUGUACGGUGAUGAAUCUCUGGUUUAUUGUUGUCAAAGAUGCGCACGGCACCCACCAAAAUAUAGCUGUUGGGUUCCAUAUACGUGAUGAUUAAAGAACAGGUGGGGGCAUCAUAUUUGCCGGGAGAGUGAAUUCUUAGACAGGCCAGGACUAACGAAGGCAAAGGAACUUGUCUUUGAUGGAUUCCUUUAAUGAUGAACAACAGUGGAGAGUGGGGGUAGAGGGAGCGGAUGCCGCUAUCAUCACACCGAAAACAUAUGAG
This 1115-nucleotide ribosomal RNA is filed under the name Thelohanellus habibpuri. RNAcentral describes it as "bacterial SSU rRNA". It matches the Rfam family "Eukaryotic small subunit ribosomal RNA", at positions 33 to 1045 of the family's 1831-position model. The record is from RNAcentral. Lineage: Eukaryota; Metazoa; Cnidaria; Myxozoa; Bivalvulida; Myxobolidae.